UAUCGAGCCUUUCUGGUGGCUGGACCCUGAGUGUGUGAAGAGGAGAGCUGUCCUCCGAGACUGUCUCAUCUCCAACAGGACCCAGGACAAAAAUAGUUUGUCCCUAACCUGCUCAGGUCUGUACUAUAUUGUGACAUUUCUAAAAAUGUGGAUUACAUGGUUGACUAUAAUCCCAGAACUAUAUUUUUCAAACCGCACAAUAAUCUGCUGAUUAUUUCAUGACAGUUUUCUCUCCACAGACUUCCUCCCUGGUGUCAAGACGUUGGUCUCCUCAGAGGGAGUUUUUCAGUCCAGGGGGCACAGGGCUCUUGUGAGGUCCGGUGCAGACUUCAGUGUCUCCUGCUUUUUAGAUAAACCAUUCUACUCUGUUUUUUUCCACCUGCUGGCUCCAAGUGGGAAUUACACCCUGCCAUCUGUCAAUCACUCUGCACACUUCCUGUUCACAGCCUUUGGUCCUGAACACACAGGGAACUACACCUGUGGUUACAGUCUAUAUGAUUCAAGUAAAAUCCUAAAGAACGUGACCCUGUACAUCAGUCGUGGAGUGGCAGACUCAGACCUGCUCCUGAGAGCCGGGAUCCAUGUUCUCAUCCUGCUCAUCUCCACCACUGCACUGUACUUCUACUGCCAGGCCAAAACACGGAAACAACAUGGACAACGGCGAUCUGCUCAUCUCCAUCUUCAGUGAAAGGUGAAUAUACCAUCCUGAGAAGCCUGUGAAAUAAAGACGUUAUGGGGAAAGAUUUAGUUUAUGUUCCCAUUUUGUGAUAAGAGUAAAACACUGUCAGCACUGGAUAAUCACAGCAGGGCAUUUAAAGGUCCAAUAUUACACAAAAUGGACUCUUGUCAACGUUAAGUCAUGUUAUAAUGUGUUUACCUCCUCAAAAACUCCUCAAAAUGUGACUGUAAAGCCAUUUUGAAGGUUUGUGGUAAAAUAGGUGAAUUUGUUGUAAAUUAAAAUUGCAAAAUUUGGUGAAAAUAAUCAAACACAGCUCUAGAUA
This is a long non-coding RNA of Boleophthalmus pectinirostris (great blue-spotted mudskipper), 1001 nucleotides long. RefSeq lists it as uncharacterized. The record is from RefSeq and is a predicted model, not a curated record. NCBI's taxonomy places the organism in Eukaryota, Metazoa, Chordata, Actinopteri, Gobiiformes, Gobiidae. The transcript has 3 exons.